CCUUACUGAUGGCAGAUGUCGGGUCUGCCUCGCUUAUACGUGCCCUUGCUGAUGGCAGAUGUCGGAUCUGCCUCGCUUAU
Molecule: microRNA precursor, 80 nt
Organism: Pan troglodytes (chimpanzee)
Lineage: Eukaryota; Metazoa; Chordata; Mammalia; Primates; Hominidae
Source: Ensembl